Molecule: transfer RNA, 77 nt
Filed under: Desulfovibrio sp.
Lineage: Bacteria; Pseudomonadati; Thermodesulfobacteriota; Desulfovibrionia; Desulfovibrionales; Desulfovibrionaceae
Also listed under: 4 other names
Description: tRNA-Arg
Rfam family: tRNA
About the family: Transfer RNA (tRNA) molecules are approximately 80 nucleotides in length.
Source: RNAcentral
GCGCCCGUAGCUCAGGUGGAUAGAGCAGGAGCCUUCUAAGCUCUUGGCCGGGGGUUCGAAUCCUCCCGGGCGCGCCA